GCCCGUAUAGCUCAGUGGUAGAGCGCAUCACUCGUACUACUGCAUCCUGUCUAAUUGGAUAGGAUCCGCACAAUCUGCGACAUGAUGAGGUCCGCGGUUCAAAUCCGCGUGGGGGCA
Non-coding RNA from Podospora didyma, 117 nucleotides. The record is from the annotation of a GenBank genome assembly. NCBI's taxonomy places the organism in Eukaryota, Fungi, Ascomycota, Sordariomycetes, Sordariales, Podosporaceae.